UUGUUUUUGAGUUUGAUGAUGGCUCUGAUUGAACGCUGUCCAAAGGCUUGACACAUGCUAAUCAUACAUAAUUUUAUAAAGUUUCAUUUUUAAUAGACUUUGGUAAAAAAAUUAGGUGGUGUAAAGGUGAGUAUAUAAUACUUUUAUUGCCUUAAAGUAAGGAAAAAAAAUUCCUUAAAGAGAUAAAACUUCUUCUCGCUUUAAGAUAUUUAAGAAUUAUCAAGUAAGUAGUAGUUAAGGUAAUUACUUAACUAGCUUUGACUUGUAGUCAUAACUGAGAGGUUUAUUGACCACAUUGGGUCUGAAAAAACCCCAAUACGUAUAGUACAGCAGUGAGGAAUCUUGGUCAAUAGCCUAACGGCUGAACCAGCAAUUUGGGGGAAUGAAGUUAUAUAUUGAAAUAUAAAUAUAUACGCAUCGACUAUGUCGUAUAAAGUUCUAAAUAGAAGAUUGAUUAUGACAGAUUUCUAUUUAUGUGUCUCGACCAAUUCUUGUGCCAGCAGUCGCGGCAACACAAGCGAGACUAGUGUUAUUCAUCUUUAUUAGGUUUAAAGGGUACCUAGACGGUAUUUUCAGCCUGUGCAGGGUACAAAAAUACUAGAGUUUUAUUUGAGAGGUAAAUAUUAGGACUAUUGGUGUAAAGAUGAAAUUUUUUGAUACUAAUGGGACGGAUAACGGCGAAGGCAAUCCUCUAUAUAUGAACUGACGUUAAGGGACGAAGGCUUGGGGAGCGAAUAGGAUUAGAUACCCUAGUAGUCCAGGCAGAAAAUUAUGAAUGUUAUAGACCAAGAAAAAAUUGGUGUAUAAAUGAAAGUGUAAGCAUUCCACCUCAAGAGUAAUGUGGCAACGCAGGAACUGAAAUCAUUAGACCGUUUGUGAAACCAGUAGUGAAGUAUGUUAUUUAAUUCGAUAACCCUCGAAAAACCUUACCACAAUUUGAAUAUGAUAAAAUACUAUGGUUAUUUAUCAUACAAGCGUUGCACGGCUGUCUUCAGUUAAUGUCGUGAGAUUUUGGUUAGAUUCAUUAAAUUAACGUAAACCCAUACUCCAUUAUGUCGUCUUAAAGUAAAAAAGUGGAUUGGUUACGGCUGGUCCAUAAGUAUGAAAUUUGCUAAGGCCACGGAGUAGUUCACCGCUAUAUUGGAUAUCAUAAUAGGGACCAAGACAAGUCAUCAUGACCUUAAUAUUGUGGGCUAUAGACGUGCCACAUGUAUUUGUACAAAGAGAGGCAAAAAUGCGAAUAUGAGCUAAUCUCUAAAGCAGAAUAUAAAAUGGAUUGUAGUCUGAAACUCGACUGCAUGAAAAAGGAAUUACUAGUAAUCGUGAAUCACUACAUCACGGUGGAUUUAAUCUCACAUAGGUACUAACCACUCGUCAGGCGCUGAAAGGGGUAUGUGCAAUAAGUUUGGUUUUUCGUUAAUCUAACUACGUAGCAAUUAGGCUUGUCUUUUAUUGUCGUAUUUUAACGAGGAAUUUUCGUAUGCGUGACCCUAAUUGGUGUUAAGUCGAAAUACGGUUCGUGUAGUGGAAAUUGCACGGGUUUAAUAAACAUU
Molecule: ribosomal RNA, 1553 nt
Filed under: Bacillus cereus
Lineage: Bacteria; Bacillati; Bacillota; Bacilli; Caryophanales; Bacillaceae
Description: bacterial SSU rRNA
Rfam family: Bacterial small subunit ribosomal RNA
Source: RNAcentral